GAACGCAACUUGCGCCCUCUGGUAUUCCGGAGGGCAUGCCUGUUUGAGUGUCGUGAAAUUCUCAAACCGGGAUGCUUUUUUUUUGUUUCACGGCUUGGUUUUGGGCUUUGCAGUUCCUUUGAUUGGGAUGGCUGGCCUCAAAAGCAUUAGCUGGCUUUUCAUGUGAUAUUGGUUCUACUCAGCGUGAUAAUGAUCUGACCGCCGAGGACAUCUUUCGAGAUGGCCAAUUCUCAUUUGGGCUGCUUCUAAUUUUGGUAGAGCGGAUUCUGAAUCUGUUCCACUUUUUCAGCUUUUGACCUCGAAUCAGGUGGGACUACCCGCUGAACUUAAG
This 331-nucleotide unclassified non-coding RNA is filed under the name uncultured Clavulina. Its description in RNAcentral is "sequence contains 5.8S rRNA gene". The stretch from base 1 to 53 matches the Rfam family "5.8S ribosomal RNA", at positions 102 to 154 of the family's 154-position model. The record is from RNAcentral. Lineage: Eukaryota; Fungi; Basidiomycota; Agaricomycetes; Cantharellales; Hydnaceae.